This 239-nucleotide ribosomal RNA is filed under the name uncultured bacterium. RNAcentral's name for it is "partial 16S ribosomal RNA". It matches the Rfam family "Bacterial small subunit ribosomal RNA", at positions 111 to 334 of the family's 1533-position model. The record is from RNAcentral.
UAACACGUAAACAACCUGCCUUCAGGAUGGGGACAACAGACGGAAACGACUGCUAAUACCGAAUAAGUUCCAAGGGCCGCAUGGCCCAUGGAAGAAAAGGUAGGCCUCUACCUGUAAGCUAUCGCCUGAAGAGGGGUUUGCGUCUGAUUAGCUGGUUGGAGGGUAAGGCCCACCAAGGCGACGAUCAGUAGCCGGUCUGAGAGGAUGAACGGCCACACUGGAACUGAGACACGGUCCAG